UGGGGAAUUUUGGACAAUGGGCGCAAGCCUGCUCCACCCAUACCGCGUGGGUGAAGAAGGCCUUCGGGUUGUAAAGCCCUUUUGUUGGGAAAGAAAAGCAAUCGAUUAAUACCCGGUUGUUCUGACGGUACCCAAAGAAUAAGCACCGGCUAACUUCGUGCCAGCAGCCGCAGUAAUACGAAGGGUGCAAGCGUUACUCGGAAUUACUGGGCGUAAAGCGUGCGUAGGUGGUUGUUUAAGUCUGUUGUGAAAGCCCUGGGCUCAACCUGGGAAUUUCAGUGGAUACUGGGCAACUAGAGUGUGGUAGAGGGUAGUGGAAAUCCCGGGGUAGCAGUGAAAUGCGUAGAGAUCUGGAGGAACAUCCAGGGCGAAGGCAGCUACCUGGAACAACACUGACACUGAGGCACGAAAGCGUGGGGAGCAAACAGG
RNAcentral lists this ribosomal RNA (429 nucleotides) under bacterium. Its description in RNAcentral is "partial 16S ribosomal RNA". It matches the Rfam family "Bacterial small subunit ribosomal RNA", at positions 355 to 776 of the family's 1533-position model. The record is from RNAcentral.